This 28-nucleotide non-coding RNA is filed under the name Rattus norvegicus (Norway rat). The record is from RNAcentral. Lineage: Eukaryota; Metazoa; Chordata; Mammalia; Rodentia; Muridae.
UAAUUCCUAUUGGGGGUCCUAUUUGUUG